AGGGAACAUCUGAGGCAAC
Molecule: microRNA, 19 nt
Filed under: Monodelphis domestica (gray short-tailed opossum)
Lineage: Eukaryota; Metazoa; Chordata; Mammalia; Didelphimorphia; Didelphidae
Description: mdo-miR-7384-3p
Source: miRBase by way of RNAcentral